Molecule: ribosomal RNA, 723 nt
Filed under: Citrobacter koseri
Lineage: Bacteria; Pseudomonadati; Pseudomonadota; Gammaproteobacteria; Enterobacterales; Enterobacteriaceae
Description: partial 23S ribosomal RNA
Rfam family: Bacterial large subunit ribosomal RNA
Source: RNAcentral
ACCCAGACCGCCAGCUAAGGUCCCAAAGUCAUGGUUAAGUGGGAAACGAUGUGGGAAGGCCCAGACAGCCAGGAUGUUGGCUUAGAAGCAGCCAUCAUUUAAAGAAAGCGUAAUAGCUCACUGGUCGAGUCGGCCUGCGCGGAAGAUGUAACGGGGCUAAACCAUGCACCGAAGCUGCGGCAGCGACACUAUGUGUUGUUGGGUAGGGGAGCGUUCUGUAAGCCGUUGAAGGUGUGCUGUGAGGCAUGCUGGAGGUAUCAGAAGUGCGAAUGCUGACAUAAGUAACGAUAAAGCGGGUGAAAAGCCCGCUCGCCGGAAGACCAAGGGUUCCUGUCCAACGUUAAUCGGGGCAGGGUGAGUCGACCCCUAAGGCGAGGCCGAAAGGCGUAGUCGAUGGGAAACAGGUUAAUAUUCCUGUACUUGGUGUUACUGCGAAGGGGGGACGGAGAAGGCUAUGUCGGCCGGGCGACGGUUGUCCCGGUUUAAGCGUGUAGGUGUGUGCUCCAGGCAAAUCCGGUGCACUUUAACACUGAGGCGUGAUGACGAGGCACUACGGUGCUGAAGUGACAAAUGCCCUGCUUCCAGGAAAAGCCUCUAAGCAUCAGGUAACACGAAAUCGUACCCCAAACCGACACAGGUGGUCAGGUAGAGAAUACCAAGGCGCUUGAGAGAACUCGGGUGAAGGAACUAGGCAAAAUGGUGCCGUAACUUCGGGAGAAGGCA